This 467-nucleotide ribosomal RNA is filed under the name uncultured bacterium. Its description in RNAcentral is "partial 16S ribosomal RNA". It matches the Rfam family "Bacterial small subunit ribosomal RNA", at positions 28 to 506 of the family's 1533-position model. The record is from RNAcentral.
GACGAACGCUGGCGGCGUGCUUAACACAUGCAAGUCGAACGGAAAGGCCCUGCUUUUGUGGGGUGCUCGAGUGGCGAACGGGUGAGUAACACGUGAGUAACCUGCCCUUGACUUUGGGAUAACUUCAGGAAACUGGGGCUAAUACCGGAUAGGAGCUCCUGCUGCAUGGUGGGGGUUGGAAAGUUUCGGCGGUUGGGGAUGGACUCGCGGCUUAUCAGCUUGUUGGUGGGGUAGUGGCUUACCAAGGCUUUGACGGGUAGCCGGCCUGAGAGGGUGACCGGCCACAUUGGGACGGAGAUACGGCCCAGACUGCUACGGGAGGCAGGAGUGGGGAAUAUUGCACAAUGGGCGGAAGCCUGAUGCAGCAACGACGCGUGCGGGAGGACGGCCUUCGGGUGGGAAACCGCUUUCGCCUGUGACGAAGCGUGAGUGACGGUAAUGGGUAAAGAAGCACCGGCUAACUACGU